GGUACGGAGAUCGGACAAACGUCAACGCGUUGGCGCCGAAAAAGAAUGUCAUUGUUAGAAAAUUAAUCGAAACUGCGACACGUUUUUUCUUGACCUGGCAGUUAGUUAGUUUGUAGUGAAUAGUUUUAAAGAAAACAUAGGUGGAAGCUAUUUGGCCAGUUGCGCGUGAUUUGAGUGCUCGCGGGUUUGUGAGUCGGAAGAGUUUGAGUGACCGUUCGGUUGUUCCGGUUAGGUGUACCGGGUUGAGCUCAAUUAGAGCGGUAGGAAAGAAAAAGU
Uranotaenia lowii is the source of this 276-nucleotide long non-coding RNA. RefSeq lists it as uncharacterized. The transcript is spliced from 3 exons. NCBI's taxonomy places the organism in Eukaryota, Metazoa, Arthropoda, Insecta, Diptera, Culicidae. The record is from RefSeq and is a predicted model, not a curated record.